This is a small nuclear RNA of Neogale vison (American mink), 107 nucleotides long. The record is from Ensembl. NCBI's taxonomy places the organism in Eukaryota, Metazoa, Chordata, Mammalia, Carnivora, Mustelidae.
AUGGUCUCUUCAGCAACACAUAUACUAAAAUUGGAAUGAUACAGAGCAGAUAGCAGGGCCCCUACACAAAGAUGAACACAAAUUUGCAAAUUACAUAGAGAACUCAU